GAAUAGAGGCGCGGACUGCAUCAGUACCGCACGGGAGCCCCUCACCGGGCUGCGAACGUGCGCGAAAGGGCUGGCCGCCGAAAUGGGCGCUUGGGUGAGGGCGCGUCCGUUGGGCGACGGAAUAAGAUUUCGUCGACUGUCACAGCCAAGAGUGGCUGUGGGGCGCUAUUCG
RNAcentral lists this non-coding RNA (172 nucleotides) under human gut metagenome. RNAcentral's name for it is "Lysine riboswitch". It matches the Rfam family "Lysine riboswitch aptamer". Rfam says of the family: Riboswitches are metabolite binding domains within certain messenger RNAs that serve as precision sensors for their corresponding targets. Allosteric rearrangement of mRNA structure is mediated by ligand binding, and this results in modulation of gene expression. The record is from RNAcentral.